UGCCUGAAAAUUCUGGUUGCCAUACUAAACU
This 31-nucleotide non-coding RNA is filed under the name Mus musculus (house mouse). The record is from RNAcentral. Lineage: Eukaryota; Metazoa; Chordata; Mammalia; Rodentia; Muridae.